UACGUAGGGGGCAAGCGUUGUCCGGAUUUAUUGGGCGUAAAGAGCUCGUAGGCGGCUUGGCAAGUCGGGUGUGAAAACUCCAGGCUCAACCUGGAGACGCCACCCGAUACUGCCAUGGCUAGAGUCCGGUAGGGGACCACGGAAUUCCUGGUGUAGCGGUGAAAUGCGCAGAUAUCAGGAGGAACACCGGUGGCGAAGGCGGUGGUCUGGGCCGGAACUGACGCUGAGGAGCGAAAGCGUGGGGAGCGAACAGG
RNAcentral lists this ribosomal RNA (254 nucleotides) under uncultured bacterium. RNAcentral describes it as "partial 16S ribosomal RNA". It matches the Rfam family "Bacterial small subunit ribosomal RNA", at positions 524 to 776 of the family's 1533-position model. The record is from RNAcentral.